UACAGAGGUCUCAAGCGUUGUUCGGAUUCAUUGGGCGUAAAGGGCGCGUAGGUGGUGGCUUAAGCGUGCGGUGAAAGCUCGGGGCUCAACUCCGAGUCGGCCGUGCGAACUGGGCUCACUGGAGCAUAGUAGAGGCAGGUGGAAUUCCGGGUGUAGCGGUGGAAUGCGUAGAGAUCCGGAAGAACACCGGUGGCGAAGGCGGCCUGCUGGGCUAUGGCUGACACUGAGGCGCGACAGCGUGGGGAGCAAACAGGG
This 255-nucleotide ribosomal RNA is filed under the name uncultured bacterium. RNAcentral's name for it is "partial 16S ribosomal RNA". It matches the Rfam family "Bacterial small subunit ribosomal RNA", at positions 524 to 777 of the family's 1533-position model. The record is from RNAcentral.